RNAcentral lists this ribosomal RNA (372 nucleotides) under uncultured bacterium. Its description in RNAcentral is "bacterial SSU rRNA". It matches the Rfam family "Bacterial small subunit ribosomal RNA", at positions 527 to 898 of the family's 1533-position model. The record is from RNAcentral.
GAACCGUCCUAACGUUGUUCGGAUUCACUGGGCUUAAAGGGCGCGUAGGCGGGUGAGCAAGUCCGGGGUGAAAUCUUUCGGCUUAACCGGAAAACUGCCUUGGAUACUGCUUGUCUAGAGGGAGGUAGGGGUCUGUGGAACUUCCGGUGGAGCGGUGAAAUGCGUUGAUAUCGGAAGGAACGCCGGUGGCGAAAGCGACGGACUGGACCUCUUCUGACGCUGAGGCGCGAAAGCUAGGGUAGCGAACGGGAUUAGAUACCCCGGUAGUCCUAGCCCUAAACGAUGGGUACUAGGUAGUGGACUUAACAUGGGUUCACUGCCGAAGCAAAAGUGGUAAGUACCCCGCCUGGGGAGUAUGGUCGCAAGGCUGAA